RNAcentral lists this ribosomal RNA (253 nucleotides) under uncultured bacterium. Its description in RNAcentral is "partial 16S ribosomal RNA". It matches the Rfam family "Bacterial small subunit ribosomal RNA", at positions 524 to 776 of the family's 1533-position model. The record is from RNAcentral.
UACGAAGGGGGCUAGCGUUGCUCGGAAUUACUGGGCGUAAAGCGUGCGCAGGCGGUUCUAUAAGACAGAUGUGAAAUCCCCGGGCUCAACCUGGGAACUGCAUUUGUGACUGUAGAGCUGGAGUACGGUAGAGGGGGAUGGAAUUCCGCGUGUAGCAGUGAAAUGCGUAGAUAUGCGGAGGAACACCGAUGGCGAAGGCAAUCCCCUGGACCUGUACUGACGCUCAUGCACGAAAGCGUGGGGAGCAAACAGG